RNAcentral lists this ribosomal RNA (1243 nucleotides) under Enterococcus faecalis. Its description in RNAcentral is "bacterial SSU rRNA". It matches the Rfam family "Bacterial small subunit ribosomal RNA", at positions 71 to 1219 of the family's 1533-position model. The record is from RNAcentral. Lineage: Bacteria; Bacillati; Bacillota; Bacilli; Lactobacillales; Enterococcaceae.
AUAAUUAAAUUCACUUCUAUCUGCAGUCGACGCUUCUUUCCUCCCGAGUGCUUGCACUCAAUUGGAAAGAGGAGUGGCGGACGGGUGAGUAACACGUGGGUAACCUACCCAUCAGAGGGGGAUAACACUUGGAAACAGGUGCUAAUACCGCAUAACAGUUUAUGCCGCAUGGCAUAAGAGUGAAAGGCGCUUUCGGGUGUCGCUGAUGGAUGGACCCGCGGUGCAUUAGCUAGUUGGUGAGGUAACGGCUCACCAAGGCCACGAUGCAUAGCCGACCUGAGAGGGUGAUCGGCCACACUGGGACUGAGACACGGCCCAGACUCCUACGGGAGGCAGCAGUAGGGAAUCUUCGGCAAUGGACGAAAGUCUGACCGAGCAACGCCGCGUGAGUGAAGAAGGUUUUCGGAUCGUAAAACUCUGUUGUUAGAGAAGAACAAGGACGUUAGUAACUGAACGUCCCCUGACGGUAUCUAACCAGAAAGCCACGGCUAACUACGUGCCAGCAGCCGCGGUAAUACGUAGGUGGCAAGCGUUGUCCGGAUUUAUUGGGCGUAAAGCGAGCGCAGGCGGUUUCUUAAGUCUGAUGUGAAAGCCCCCGGCUCAACCGGGGAGGGUCAUUGGAAACUGGGAGACUUGAGUGCAGAAGAGGAGAGUGGAAUUCCAUGUGUAGCGGUGAAAUGCGUAGAUAUAUGGAGGAACACCAGUGGCGAAGGCGGCUCUCUGGUCUGUAACUGACGCUGAGGCUCGAAAGCGUGGGGAGCAAACAGGAUUAGAUACCCUGGUAGUCCACGCCGUAAACGAUGAGUGCUAAGUGUUGGAGGGUUUCCGCCCUUCAGUGCUGCAGCACACGCAUUAAGCACUCCGCCUGGGGAGUACGACCGCGAGGUUGAAACUCAAAGGAAUUGACGGGGGCCCGCACAAGCGGUGGAGCAUGUGGUUUAAUUUCGAAGCAACGCGAAGUACCCUUACCAGGAUCUUGACAUCGCUUUGACCACUCCUAGGAGAUCGUAGCUUUCACCAUUCGGGGACCUAGGUGGAACAGGUGGUAGCCAUGGUUGUCGUGCAGCUCGUGAUCGUGAGAUCGAUGAGAUCUAAGUCCCGCAACCAGCUGCAAACCUUAUCUUGUUAGUUGGCCAUCACUUUACGUGCGGUACUCCUAACCGAAGACUGACCGGGUGGACAAACGUAGGUAGUUGGGGACUGACGUCCAAUUCCAUCAUGCCCCCCCUUUAUUGUGAAACAG